Molecule: ribosomal RNA, 661 nt
Filed under: Debaryomyces sp. R100
Lineage: Eukaryota; Fungi; Ascomycota; Pichiomycetes; Serinales; Debaryomycetaceae
Description: eukaryotic LSU rRNA
Rfam family: 5.8S ribosomal RNA (bases 337-490)
Source: RNAcentral
UUAGUAGAGGCCUCCGGAUUGGUUUAAAGAAGGGGGCAACUCCAUCUUGGAACCGAAAAGCUGGUCAAACUUGGUCAUUUAGAGGAAGUAAAAGUCGUAACAAGGUUUCCGUAGGUGAACCUGCGGAAGGAUCAUUACAGUAUUCUUUUUGCCAGCGCUUAAUUGCGCGGCGAAAAAACCUUACACACAGUGUUUUUUGUUAUUACAAGAACUUUUGCUUUGGUCUGGACUAGAAAUAGUUUGGGCCAGAGGUUUACUGAACUAAACUUCAAUAUUUAUAUUGAAUUGUUAUUUAUUUAAUUGUCAAUUUGUUGAUUAAAUUCAAAAAAUCUUCAAAACUUUCAACAACGGAUCUCUUGGUUCUCGCAUCGAUGAAGAACGCAGCGAAAUGCGAUAAGUAAUAUGAAUUGCAGAUUUUCGUGAAUCAUCGAAUCUUUGAACGCACAUUGCGCCCUCUGGUAUUCCAGAGGGCAUGCCUGUUUGAGCGUCAUUUCUCUCUCAAACCUUCGGGUUUGGUAUUGAGUGAUACUCUUAGUCGAACUAGGCGUUUGCUUGAAAUGUAUUGGCAUGAGUGGUACUGGAUAGUGCUAUAUGACUUUCAAUGUAUUAGGUUUAUCCAACUCGUUGAAUAGUUUAAUGGUAUAUUUCUCGGUAUUCUAGG